Molecule: ribosomal RNA, 435 nt
Filed under: uncultured bacterium
Lineage: Bacteria
Description: bacterial SSU rRNA
Rfam family: Bacterial small subunit ribosomal RNA
Source: RNAcentral
UCGAGGAUCUUCGGCAAUGGGCGCAAGCCUGACCGAGCGACGCCGCGUGUGCGACGAAGGCCUUCGGGUUGUAAAGCACUGUCGAGGGGGAGGAAAGCCCGCAAGGGUCUGACCUAUCCCUGGAGGAAGCACGGGCUAAGUUCGUGCCAGCAGCCGCGGUAAGACGAACCGUGCGAACGUUGUUCGGAAUCACUGGGCUUAAAGGGCGCGUAGGCGGCACAGCAAGUCUGGGGUGAAAUCGUUCAGCUUAACUGGACAAGUGCCUCGGAUACUGCUGCGCUCGAGGGAGGUAGGGGCAGAGGGAACUUCCGGUGGAGCGGUGAAAUGCGUUGAUAUCGGAAGGAACGCCGGUGGCGAAAGCGCUCUGCUGGACCUCUUCUGACGCUGAGGCGCGAAAGCCAGGGGAGCGAACGGGAUUAGAUACCCCCGUAGUCC